GGAGAAUCCGAGAAGACCAUCAAAAGGCCCUUUGCUUGUUAUAUACUCACACAAGUACGUAAUGCAUUCUUCUAAGUUCUCAUAUUCUGUGAAAUCCUCAUUAUACUGGAACCACUCAAAAUAUGGUGGUGGAAAUAUCCCCUCAAUAUCUGAUUUACCCUUUGCUGCAAAUAUUCCAUCUGGAAAAUCCAUUUCAGAAUUAGCAAAAAUAGAAGGAUCCCAUUUGCUUAAUUGUUUUUUUAAGAAAUUUCCACUAGUUCUAAAUCCAUGCAAACAAAGAAUCUUCAUCUUUUUUUCUUCUAUUAUCU
This 308-nucleotide unclassified non-coding RNA is filed under the name Hevea brasiliensis (rubber tree). The record is from RNAcentral. Lineage: Eukaryota; Viridiplantae; Streptophyta; Magnoliopsida; Malpighiales; Euphorbiaceae.